GAAUUCCUACGGGGGGCAGCAGUGGGGAAUAUUGGGCAAUGGGCGCAAGCCUGACCCAGCAACGCCGCGUGAAGGAAGAAGGCUUUCGGGUUGUAAACUUCUUUUCUCAGGGACGAAUAGAUGACGGUACCUGAGGAAUAAGCCACGGCUAACUACGUGCCAGCAGCCGCGGUAAUACGUAGGUGGCAAGCGUUAUCCGGAUUUACUGGGUGUAAAGGGCGUGUAGGCGGGGACGCAAGUCAGAUGUGAAAACCACGGGCUCAACCUGUUGCCUGCAUUUGAAACUGUGUUUCUUGUGUACUGGG
RNAcentral lists this ribosomal RNA (305 nucleotides) under uncultured bacterium. RNAcentral's name for it is "bacterial SSU rRNA". It matches the Rfam family "Bacterial small subunit ribosomal RNA", at positions 333 to 653 of the family's 1533-position model. The record is from RNAcentral.